CAGUCGCCGCGGGAAUACGUAGGGUGCAAGCGUUAAUCGGAAUUACUGGGCGUAAAGCGUGCGCAGGCGGUUUGUUAAGACAGAUGUGAAAUCCCCGGGCUCAACCUGGGAACUGCAUUUGUGACUGGCAAGCUAGGGUGUGGCAGAGGGGGGUGGAAUUCCGCGUGUAGCAGUGAAAUGCGUAGAUAUGCGGAGGAACACCGAUGGCGAAGGCAGCCCCCUGGGCCAACACUGACGCUCAUGCACGAAAGCGUGGGGAGCAAACAGGAUUAGAGACCCGCGUAGUCCCUGUCUCUUAUAC
This 301-nucleotide ribosomal RNA is filed under the name uncultured bacterium. RNAcentral describes it as "partial 16S ribosomal RNA". It matches the Rfam family "Bacterial small subunit ribosomal RNA", at positions 509 to 807 of the family's 1533-position model. The record is from RNAcentral.